AUGAGGUCGUACUCAUUAUGGGUUGGCCCUAAAUCCAAUGCCUGUGUCUUUACAAGAGGAGAAGACACAGAGAGACAGACACAGAGAGGGAAGACAGCCGUGUGACUGGAGUGACGCAGCUACAAGCCCAGGAGCGCCGGGGAUCGCUGACAACCAGCACGAGCCGGAAGAGGGAGCCGCAGACGCUGAUCAGACCCCGGCUUUAUGAAAAGUGGUAACCAGCUCCGCUUCUGGGCGGUGUCCAGCGCCACCGAGCCUGCCCACGGGAGUCAAAAAAGAACUGAUGUGGCCCUAAAGGAAUUCGCCAUCUAGAAGCAGAAAGAGACACAGCAGCAAAGAAAAGGCGGAUGGCCGUGUGAUCUGAUGAAGACGGCACAGGCACCCAAGAUCCGACCCACCCAAGAUCCCGAGGGAAGUGCAUGGAGGACGUUCUCCGACAUCAUCAUCCCCACUCUACAGACAGAGAGAUGAAGGCUUGGAACAGCCGGGGCCUCCCCCCAAGGAAGGGCCCCCCAGCUGGGAUUCAAGCCCGGCAGUGUCCUCUGUCUUCUGCACCCUUAACCCCCGCCCUGAGGCAGUGCUGACUCACAGGGCUAUUCGGUCAUUUCCCCACUAUCCCCCACGAACUCCCCGAAGCCAGUGUGCUUUCUCCAGAUGCUCUAUGUCUAUUGUUUUAUUCCACAGGUAUUUAUUGGGUGUCUUUUAUAUGCCCAGCUCUGUGCUAGCAGACCCGACACACCCGUAAACAAGCAAAACAGGAAGCUCGCACCCAGUGAGACAGACAGAGACAGACACACAUAACAACAAGAGAGCUCUACGUGACGGCAGGUUCCAUGGAGGAAGCAAAAUGGGGGUGUGUGGAGGAGGAUGGCAACCUCAAGUUUUGUUUAGUGAAGACCUUUCUGAGGAGGUAACAUUGAGUUUAUCAUUUUAACUGAUAAUUUUGGACGUUUCUAAGUGCGCGCACACACACAGAAUACUUCAUGAACCCCACGUAUCAAUCACUCAGCACUGAUCCUGCAAUCCUUAUUUGGAAGCAAUGUAAGCAUAAAUAAAUAAACAGAAUACUCUACAGCUGCAGUCCCCAGUGCCCAGGCUGCAGGCAGGGAUGG
Molecule: long non-coding RNA, 1112 nt
Organism: Lemur catta (Ring-tailed lemur)
Lineage: Eukaryota; Metazoa; Chordata; Mammalia; Primates; Lemuridae
Exons: 4
Source: RefSeq, a predicted model, not a curated record